UAAACUAGAAUGUUAGGUAGCAAAUGGGCUCGGUUGUCACCCAUUUGCUUUCGAUGAUGGAGCCUCCAAAUCGAUAAUCGGCACCAUUGAAAAUGAUCUAUAUCACUUGAAGUAUCUAAAAAUCAAAUUUCAUACUUUUUCAAUAUUAUUUUCUUGUCCAUCAAGUAGGCAUAAAAAUGAACGGCUGAAAAUAAAUAUUCUCUAAAAUGUGAUGAUAUAAAUUUUGUAAUUAAAAUCGAGUGUAUAAAUCUUAUUCUAAAUAGUUUAAAGAAUUUUUUAACCGAAAUUCAAUUUAUUUGGAUAGUUUUACACUGUUAAACGAAAAAACGCUUCAUAUCUAUCAUUAAAAUUACAAAUUUGAAACCCUUUGAUCAUUAGGUCAAUAAUGUCGAAAUGAUUUAAAAUUUGAUUUCUAGAUAUUUCAAGUGAUAGAGAUUAUAUUCAACGAUGCCAAUCGUUGAUUUAAAAGCUCCAUCAUCGAAAACAAAUGAAUGACAAUGAAACCUCUCUAAUGCCGAUAGCAUUCCAGCUCAACUCUCUCGCUAUAUAUAUUUAUUUAUGAAGAACCCACCUUCCCUACUAUAGUCCA
This 589-nucleotide long non-coding RNA is filed under the name Ananas comosus (pineapple). RNAcentral's name for it is "long non-coding RNA (ACOM_LNC029909)". The record is from RNAcentral. Lineage: Eukaryota; Viridiplantae; Streptophyta; Magnoliopsida; Poales; Bromeliaceae.